Rhizophagus irregularis is the source of this 165-nucleotide non-coding RNA. Lineage: Eukaryota; Fungi; Glomeromycota; Glomeromycetes; Glomerales; Glomeraceae. The record is from Rfam.
AUACUUACCUGGCGCGGCAUCUCUGUUAUCAAUGAAGGCAAAGAUGCGGGUGGUGGCUGCUGGCAUUGCACUGCGCCAGAGGCUAUUGCUCCGAACACUCAUAAAAGUGUCUCGAGCGCACAAUUUAUGAUUGUUGGGUGAUCAUGGUUCGCCGGGAUUACCCUU